This is a long non-coding RNA of Exaiptasia diaphana, 312 nucleotides long. RefSeq lists it as uncharacterized. NCBI's taxonomy places the organism in Eukaryota, Metazoa, Cnidaria, Anthozoa, Actiniaria, Aiptasiidae. The transcript is spliced from 3 exons. The record is from RefSeq and is a predicted model, not a curated record.
AUAUAACAUAAGCUAAUACACUUCACAGUUGUAAAAGGAACCGGUGAAGUUUUCACAGUUCAACUAAAUCACAAGCUCGGUACCUACGAAAGAUUUUACGACUUAUGGCGAAAAUGUAGACAGCAACGGCGUCAAAGUUUGAAGGCGGGUCCAGUGGCUGGCAAAUCGGUAAUUGUUGUUAUAAUCAUUACUAUAAUCAUCGUUAUCAUCAUGUCACUUUCUCUCWAAKUAAUCAAUUGUUUUUGUUUGCCCACAACAGGCAUUACCCUCUGUUUCUUUCGUCGAAYCAGCAAGGUUAGUCUGGUCUCAAGG